UACGGGGGGGGCAAGCGUUAUUCAGUAUAACUAGGCGUAAAGGGUCUGUAGGCGCAAAUUUUGUUAUUAACUAAAAAUUAAAGCAUAACUUUAUAAAAAUUAAUAAUACAGAUUUAGCUAGAGUAAUAUAGAGGAUAGUAGAAUUUCUGUAGUAGGGAUGAAAUCCAUAGACAACAGAAGGAAUGUCAGAGGCGAAGGCGACUAUCUGGAUAUUACUGACGUUGAGGGAC
This 230-nucleotide ribosomal RNA is filed under the name uncultured bacterium. Its description in RNAcentral is "partial 16S ribosomal RNA". It matches the Rfam family "Bacterial small subunit ribosomal RNA", at positions 524 to 754 of the family's 1533-position model. The record is from RNAcentral.